CAGGCGUGGCUAGAGAGACAAAGUUUAAAGAAGGUCCUAUUUUCUACUGUAUACUCUCCUACAUUUGACUUUUUUUUUCUUUUUUAAACCACAGCCACACAUUACUUCUUCAAAUGACCUUGGACCUCAGAGCCUUCACUAUAAGCAAUUAGGUAUCCUGAAAAUGCCCAACAGACAUUCAGGACUACAUUGGUAUCUGUUUAAGGAAAAUCCUCAGCUGCUCACACAGUAAUGAAAGAGACAAGCUAGAAAAUUACUACUUGAUAAGACUCUGCCACAGUCUCUCCAGAGGGGAAGGGAGAAGGGGUGGAUCACAGCACCAUGAAGCAUGCUUAUGAUUUUUCAACCAAACUCCCUUGAACAGCAGUUGUACUCCAAUGUGGUGAAGCUAUUUUAGCAUCUGUCAUUGCCCUGCUCAGCACACCCCACUCCCUUGCCAAAAGCUUAAAAGGUCUCUGGGAUCCUAAGCAUAUUUAACAAAGAUUUAAAAUGCUCAGGCACCAGGUAGCCUCUGGUGGCGAUGUCUGGACAGAGCUGCAGCUGGUGAGCACAGAAGGGGCUUCUUCACAUUGACUCAGAUAAACAACAUGCAAAACAGCAGCUAAGCCUCUGACUCAAAUUGAGGCAUCAAGGCCAAGUCAAGGUAGUAAGACACAGCAAUAUCACAACCCCUCAGCUAAGGGGUCUGAUGCAGAUGCAGGACUUUCGAGUAAGUCUUGACAAAAUGCACAACCUGGCCAAGCGUGGUGGCUCACACUUGGAAUCCCAGCACUUUGGGAGGCGGAGGUGGGUGGAUCACCUAAGGCCAGGAGUUCGAGACCAGCUUGGCCAACAUUGUGAAACCCUGUCUCUACUAAAAAUAACACAAAAAUUAGCCACGUGUGGUGGCGAGUGCCUGUAGUCCCAGCUACUCAGGAGGCUGAAGCAGGAGAAUCACUUGAACCCCAGCCUCUUCUCCACAAGGCAGCAGAGUGAUUGUGUCGGUGUGGCGAUCCCCACAACGGCGUGCAGACCCUACUCCUGGGGCCAUCCGUACCCCUCUGGCCUCCUUCCCAACUCCUCACAGGCUCACUCCCCUGGGGCAGUUUCCUGGGGACCUGUCCGCCCUCUUGCUGAGCUCCUGCAGUUCCCCUUUCUCAGGGCAAUCUCUCCACCACCCUGGCUCCUGCUGCCAACCACUGCUUGUGCUCCUUCCCAGUGCUGAGUAGCUCACAUGCUAAAUGCCCUGUCUCCUCCACAGGACUAUGAGCCUCAGGGCAGGCUCGGCCACCCAUGCAGAGCCCAGGUGAGAAGGAGUAUGAGGUCCAAGGGUCCAGGGAGUGAGACGACCUGCGGUGCACAAGACAUGCUAGGGCAGGGUGGUCGAGGCAGCUCCCUGGGCUUCUCCUUCCCUUUGGUGGCACUGCCCUCUAAAGCUCCACUGAUGGGAUGGUGUGUGCAUGAAGGGCAAAGGAGGCUUGCUAUUCUUUUAACUUAAUAAAGAAAAGUGAAGGUGUGACUCACCAGUCCUAAACCAGGGUGUGUCCACCUUGGCACUAUUGACACUUGGGGCUGAUCAUUAUCUGUCAUGGGAAGGGUGGCUCUCCUGUGCACUGCAGGGAAUCCCUGGAAUACCCUGGCCUUUGCCGACUAGAUACCAGUAGUACUCCCUCACCACAGUUUUGAUAACCCAAAAUAUCCUAAGAUGUUGCUCAAAUGUCCCUGGGGCAGUAGCAAAAUCACCCCAGCUGAGAACCCCUGUCCUAACUCUAAGGGACUGCAGAGAA
This 1766-nucleotide long non-coding RNA is filed under the name Pan troglodytes (chimpanzee). RNAcentral describes it as "long non-coding RNA NONPTRT016125". The record is from RNAcentral. Lineage: Eukaryota; Metazoa; Chordata; Mammalia; Primates; Hominidae.